AUCGCGCUUGAAUGUGAGCGAUAAUAGAGACUCAGAGAUCAUGCCUGAAACUUAUCACUAAGUGUCAGAAGAGAUCGGGAAGUUGAAGCAGAUGAUGUACAGAGUUACUCUUGUCAUCAUAAUGGCUUCUCUGCAGUAUUUACACACUUGUUUGGUUGACUGAGGAGAUGUAAAGCAGUGUGAAAGUAACUGUUGCACGGUGUAGAUGCAUUUUGGACUUCCUGUAGUUUUUAUUCCGAUUGUAUUAUACAACUCCGAACAGGUCACUCGCAUAAUAUUCGAGUUCACUCGAAUAAAUAUUUAUUCACAGUCGCACAAAAUACUUUUCAGUCGUAAAUGCGAGUGAAAUGGUCACACUGUAGAGCCCUGAAUUUAUUUGCAACGUUUUUUCCUGUUCAGCGUGAUAACGUUUAAUGUCCCUGACAACCUCUGUAGUGUCAUUUAGCAACAUGUUAGUGUCAUGAUAUCCGAAGCGAAGCUAGCAGCUCGAGCGCUAAAAUGCUAAUUCCAUUUCCAGGUUUUGGCAUUACAAAAUGACAUCAUCCCUGUGCCGUUCUAUGCGGAUUGGCUGUAAGUUUAGGAAGUGCUUGAUUUGAUCUGCAGCUGAGUUUUCUAUGAGCGGAGGACGAACUUUAAACAUCAAUAUCGCAGUCGAUCAUGUUCAUUUAAUUGUGGGCAGCCAAAAUUGUAAUCGCGAUCGAUAUUCGAUUAAUUGUGCAGCCCUAGUACAUGUAUAUACCACUGAAAUGAAAUGCCAUAUAUUCAGAUAUAUCCGCUGUCUGUUCACAGCAGAGCUACGUGGGUUCUCCAGUGCGUCCUACAAGAAUUGGGUGUGAGUCCAGUUCAGAUUCAAUUUUGGAAUCUCAUUCCUCUCCCUCGCAUGACAGCCUCCAAACAGUACAAUUCUAAUGAGCUUGUAUAUACUGAAUUCCAUUGGGAUUUAUUUGAUGUCUGAUUAAUAAAUUGUUUUCUUUGAUUAGCAAUAAGUAAGUAUAUCUGGCUGUUUUGUGUGUUACAAUAUUGAAUGUCAUUUGUCAGCUAUUCACUUUGUCUGCAUUUACUAAAAUUCAUGCAUGUUUAUUAAAAAUGUGUAUACAUUAAAAAAUAAAUUAAAUUCACAAAGUAAAACAUCAAAUGAUGUGUUUUUACGGAGCCCUCCUAGUGCCAGGUAAAAAAAAAAAAAAGAGCUGUGUGUAAUCCGUACCCUCGAUUUUGCAAUCCAUACCCUCGGUUUUACAAUCUGUGCUCUCGGUUUUGUUAACCGUGCGCGCACCGCGUUAAAGUUGGGUUUAUAUUGUACAUUCGCUGUACAUUCGAGCUUCUCUCUUCUAUUUCUCAAGAAAUAAACACACAAAAAGGGCAUAAUGUGUAUUGUCUUAAUAAUGUGUAUUGAGUGGACAUAGAACCAAUACAACUGAAUAUAUUUUUAAAUUUUCUCCCGUUAAAGCCUGUGAAAGCAGCUUUGGGAAAUGCAGGUCAUCAGCGCCUUAUAUUAAUGGAGUCAGUAAAGGACCAUCUAAAGAGUGAAUGACUUAGGCAACUGUAUAAGAUUUUUAUAUGGCACAAUAAGUUUAUAUGUGUAAUAUAAAGGUAUAUCAUUAAUAAUAUAUAUGUUAUAAAAAUUCUUUAUCCAUACUGUAUCCUAACACUGCAAUAAGUUAGAUAUCCUUUUAAGUAGACGACUAUAAACUUAGUAGAAUCUUAAACAGUUGCCCAGCACGGAUUGCAAAACCGAGGGCACGGAUUACACACAGUUGUUGUUUUUUUUUGUUUGUUUUUUUUUUUACCUGGCACUAGGGGGCCUCCAUAUGUUUUCAGUAUAGUACAGCAUGAACUGAAUUUUCAAAUGACUCUUUUUGGGGUUUUUUUUUUUUUUUUUUUUUUUUUGCAUUUUCCAUACUGUCCCAACUUUUUCAGAAUUGGGCUUAUAAGUUAAUUACUUAUUUUUUUAUAUUGUGUGAUGUUCCUUUUUUUCUGCUCUGGAAGCUCCUGUUGCCAAGACAAAUUCCAUUUGAGUGUAAACAUAUUUGGGAAUAAAGUGCAUUCUGAUUCUGCUUUAUAAAACCGUUAGAGGUUAGAGCGCAUCUCUCGGAAAUACAGUCUACUCUUAUUUGAGAUAUUUAGGUGUAAACAGAUUGUGACUGUAAUUUCGGUUUAUCUUACUCUGAUUUACUUGAGCAGGAGUGUUGUAGAGUAUUUGUUGUUUUUCCUGCAAGAUUUCGAUGGACGCUCACGCUUCAUCCCACGCUCCCUCCCGGAAGAGGAAGAGAGAUGACUCCAACGGAGAGACAGAGGAAGGAGAGACGACGGCCAGAUAUAAACGCCACACCGGGGUUGUAAGAGAUGCCGAUCAGCUCAAUUCGUUGGAGGAUCAGCCAUAUGAACGCGUCAGCAUGGAGGAGGCUCGAAGGGGAACACCACCUGACAGUUCAGUGAGGGUGUACACAGACGGCAUCUUCGACUUGUUUCACUUAGGACACGCCGAAGACCUCAUGCAGGCGAAGGUCCUCUUCCCGAACACACACCUCAUCGUCGGAGUGUGCAGUGAUGACCUCGCACACAAACUCAGGGGCUUCACCUUGAUGAACGAGGAGGAGCGCUACGACAUCGUUACACACUGCUGCUACAUGGACAAAGUGGUGCGCAACGCACCGUGGACCCUCACACAAGACUUCCUCACCAAACACCGGGUGUGUGUCUGCUGCAAUUUACUGAAGGAUCAUACACAUAAACACAUCAUUGUGGGCAAUCUAGAAUAGUUCCCUAAGUAUACACACACAUACACACCCACAAAACACACACACACACACAUACAACACACACUACUGUAUACAUACUACAUUAUAGUACUUCCAGUAAUGCAGCUCAGCCACUGCAGUGCCUCAGCUAUUGGGCGCCAUUAUUUCUGUCUUGACUGAUCUUAAUUAUCUGAACUCAUGGAUUUCCUUCAUGACAUAAUAAUAUGAAACUUGUCUGUGCAGAGCGUUAUACUGGAGCUCUAACCUGCGUGCGUGUGUUCUCAGAUUGACUUUGUUGCUCAUGAUUAUAUCCCGUACUCCUCAGCAGGGAGUGAUGUGUACAAACGAAUGAAAGAGGCAGGUAUUCCACGGAGGACAUUGUUUCCCCCCUCAUGCUCCGCGGAGAGAAUCGUUCCUCCCUUUGGCUUCGCGGAGAACAUCACUCCCCUCUCCUGUCCUGUGGAGGAAAUUGUCUGGCUGUCCAGCCCCGCUGAGGACAUCGCUCUGAGCUCCAGCCCCGCUGAGUACGUCGCUCUGAGUUCCAGCCCCGCUGAGGACGUCGCUCUGAGCUCCAGCCCCGCUGAGGACGUCGCUCUGCUUACCUGUCCCGCUGAGGAUGUUGCUCUGCUUACCUGUUCCGCGGAGGACUUCGCUCUGCUUACCUGUUACACUGAGGACGGUGCAUUACUUUCUUGCUCCGCUGAGGACGCCGCUCAGUCUCCUAGUUUUGCUGGGGACAUUUUGCCCAGGGGGCCAGGACCACCAGAUGGAGGGAGUGCAUUUUUGGGCGCUCCAGGAGAAGGGCCCUUGGGGGGGGGGUUCUAUCAUAUAUCAAGGAGGUAACUCUGGACUUCAUGUCCCAGCAGUCACUGCACCCUGUUACUGUCACAUGACCACCUGCACCUGUA
This is an RNA transcript of Ictalurus furcatus (blue catfish), 3646 nucleotides long. It is a transcript of the gene named choline-phosphate cytidylyltransferase A-like, with no coding region annotated. The record is from RefSeq and is a predicted model, not a curated record. The transcript is spliced from 5 exons. NCBI's taxonomy places the organism in Eukaryota, Metazoa, Chordata, Actinopteri, Siluriformes, Ictaluridae.